This 65-nucleotide transfer RNA is filed under the name Psyttalia lounsburyi. RNAcentral's name for it is "tRNA-Val". The record is from RNAcentral. Lineage: Eukaryota; Metazoa; Arthropoda; Insecta; Hymenoptera; Braconidae.
UUAAAUUUUAGUUUAACUUAAAACAUAAUAAUUACAAUAUUAAAAUAUUAUAUAAUAAAUUUUAU